RNAcentral lists this ribosomal RNA (468 nucleotides) under uncultured organism. Its description in RNAcentral is "partial 16S ribosomal RNA". It matches the Rfam family "Bacterial small subunit ribosomal RNA", at positions 335 to 796 of the family's 1533-position model. The record is from RNAcentral.
ACUCCUGCGGGAGGCAACAGUGGGGAAUAUUGCACAAUAGGCGCAAGCCUGAUGCAGCCAUGCCGCGUGUAUGAAGAAGGCCUUCGGGUUGUAAAGUACUUUCAGCGGGGAGGAAGGCGAUAAGGUUAAUAACCUUGUCGAUUGACGUUACCCGCAGAAGAAGCACCGGCUAACUCCGUGCCAGCAGCCGCGGAAUACGGAGGGUGCAAGCGUUAAUCGGAAUUACUGGGCGUAAAGCGCACGCAGGCGGUCUGUCAAGUCGGAUGUGAAAUCCCCGGGCUCAACCUGGGAACUGCAUUCGAAACUGGCAGGCUAGAGUCUUGUAGAGGGGGGUAGAAUUCCAGGUGUAGCGGUGAAAUGCGUAGAGAUCUGGAGGAAUACCGGUGGCGAAGGCGGCCCCCUGGACAAAGACUGACGCUCAGGUGCGAAAGCGUGGGGAGCAAACAGGAUUAGAUACCCCUGUAGUCC